RNAcentral lists this ribosomal RNA (484 nucleotides) under uncultured bacterium. Its description in RNAcentral is "partial 16S ribosomal RNA". It matches the Rfam family "Bacterial small subunit ribosomal RNA", at positions 30 to 507 of the family's 1533-position model. The record is from RNAcentral.
AUUGAACGCUGGCGGCAGGCCUAACACAUGCAAGUCGAGCGGAUGAAGGGAGCUUGCUCCUGGAUUCAGCGGCGGACGGGUGAGUAAUGCCCAGGAAUCUGCCUGGUAGUGGGGGAUAACGUCCGGAAACGGGCGCUAAUACCGCAUACGUCCUGAGGGAGAAAGUGGGGGAUCUUCGGACCUCACGCUAUCAGAUGAGCCUAGGUCGGAUUAGCUAGUUGGUGGGGUAAAGGCCUACCAAGGCGACGAUCCGUAACUGGUCUGAGAGGAUGAUCAGUCACACUGGAACUGAGACACGGUCCAGACUCCUACGGGAGGCAGCAGCGGGGAAUAUUGGACAAUGGGCGAAAGCCUGAUCCAGCCAUGCCGCGUGUGUGAAGAAGGUCUUCGGAUUGUAAAGCACUUUAAGUUGGGAGGAAGGGCAGUAAGUUAAUACCUUGCUGUUUUGACGUUACCAACAGAAUAAGCACCGGCUAACUUCGUG